CUUUAUUACUGAGUCAGUAGUCCAAAUGAUCAGUAAUUCAAUUUUAAGGUCAUAUAAAUUAUCUCCUCUUGCAAAAUUGCAAAAAUCUUUUGGUUUUUAGAAAAUGAAGUCAUAUUUAGCAACUGGAAGAUGGCAUACUGUCUGCAACAUUUUCAAACGGCUGAUAGGAAAUGAAUGUCAUUACUUAUAUGUCUGUUCAAGUACAGUAUUAGCACCCUCAGAGC
This 224-nucleotide long non-coding RNA is filed under the name Mytilus galloprovincialis (Mediterranean mussel). Lineage: Eukaryota; Metazoa; Mollusca; Bivalvia; Mytilida; Mytilidae. The record is from RNAcentral.